UACGUAGGGGGCAAGCGUUGUCCGGAAUUAUUGGGCGUAAAGAGCGCGUAGGCGGUCCGAUAAGUCGGCUGUGAAAGUCCAGGGCUCAACCCUGGAAAGCCGGCCGAUACUGUCGGACUAGAGUCCGGAAGAGGCGAGUGGAAUUCCCGGUGUAGCGGUGAAAUGCGUAGAGAUGCGGAGGAACACCGAUGGCGAAGGCAGCCCCCUGGGCUAACACUGACGCUCAGGCACGAAAGCGUGGGGAGCAAACAGG
Molecule: ribosomal RNA, 253 nt
Filed under: uncultured bacterium
Lineage: Bacteria
Description: partial 16S ribosomal RNA
Rfam family: Bacterial small subunit ribosomal RNA
Source: RNAcentral